AGGAUUUUUAGGGGCAUUAUGA
RNAcentral lists this microRNA (22 nucleotides) under Gallus gallus (chicken). Its description in RNAcentral is "gga-miR-365b-5p". Its record names the gene gga-miR-365b-5p. The record is from miRBase by way of RNAcentral. Lineage: Eukaryota; Metazoa; Chordata; Aves; Galliformes; Phasianidae.